AACGGUCUAUACCUGCGGUACCUGCGGAAGGAUCAUUAAUGAGAAACUGCCCCUCGUGGGUAGAUCUCCCACCCUUUGUAAACUUACCUUUGUUGCUUUGGCAGGCCCGUCUCCGGACCGCCGGCUUCGGCUGGCCAGUGCCUGCCAGAGGAUUCUAAAACUCUGUCUGUCAGUGUUGUCUGAGUCUAUAUACAAUCGUUAAAACUUUCAACAACGGAUCUCUAGAUCGGAAGAGCACAC
RNAcentral lists this unclassified non-coding RNA (240 nucleotides) under soil metagenome. RNAcentral's name for it is "partial contains 5.8S ribosomal RNA, internal transcribed spacer 2, and large subunit ribosomal RNA". The record is from RNAcentral.